UUAAGCGACUAAGCGUACACGGUGGAUGCCCUGGCAGUCAGAGGCGAUGAAGGACGUGCUAAUCUGCGAUAAGCGUCGGUAAGGUGAUAUGAACCGUUAUAACCGGCGAUUUCCGAAUGGGGAAACCCAGUGUGUUUCGACACACUAUCAUUAACUGAAUCCAUAGGUUAAUGAGGCGAACCGGGGGAACUGAAACAUCUAAGUACCCCGAGGAAAAGAAAUCAACCGAGAUUCCCCCAGUAGCGGCGAGCGAACGGGGAGGAGCCCAGAGCCUGAAUCAGUGUGUGUGUUAGUGGAAGCGUCUGGAAAGGCGCGCGAUACAGGGUGACAGCCCCGUACACAAAAAUGCACAUGCUGUGAGCUCGAUGAGUAGGGCGGGACACGUGGUAUCCUGUCUGAAUAUGGGGGGACCAUCCUCCAAGGCUAAAUACUCCUGACUGACCGAUAGUGAACCAGUACCGUGAGGGAAAGGCGAAAAGAACCCCGGCGAGGGGAGUGAAAAAGAACCUGAAACCGUGUACGUACAAGCAGUGGGAGCCUCUUUAUGGGGUGACUGCGUACCUUUUGUAUAAUGGGUCAGCGACUUAUAUUCUGUAGCAAGGUUAACCGAAUAGGGGAGCCGAAGGGAAACCGAGUCUUAACUGGGCGUUAAGUUGCAGGGUAUAGACCCGAAACCCGGUGAUCUAGCCAUGGGCAGGUUGAAGGUUGGGUAACACUAACUGGAGGACCGAACCGACUAAUGUUGAAAAAUUAGCGGAUGACUUGUGGCUGGGGGUGAAAGGCCAAUCAAACCGGGAGAUAGCUGGUUCUCCCCGAAAGCUAUUUAGGUAGCGCCUCGUGAAUUCAUCUCCGGGGGUAGAGCACUGUUUCGGCAAGGGGGUCAUCCCGACUUACCAACCCGAUGCAAACUGCGAAUACCGGAGAAUGUUAUCACGGGAGACACACGGCGGGUGCUAACGUCCGUCGUGAAGAGGGAAACAACCCAGACCGCCAGCUAAGGUCCCAAAGUCAUGGUUAAGUGGGAAACGAUGUGGGAAGGCCCAGACAGCCAGGAUGUUGGCUUAGAAGCAGCCAUCAUUUAAAGAAAGCGUAAUAGCUCACUGGUCGAGUCGGCCUGCGCGGAAGAUGUAACGGGGCUAAACCAUGCACCGAAGCUGCGGCAGCGACGCUUAUGCGUUGUUGGGUAGGGGAGCGUUCUGUAAGCCUGUGAAGGUGUGCUGUGAGGCAUGCUGGAGGUAUCAGAAGUGCGAAUGCUGACAUAAGUAACGAUAAAGCGGGUGAAAAGCCCGCUCGCCGGAAGACCAAGGGUUCCUGUCCAACGUUAAUCGGGGCAGGGUGAGUCGACCCCUAAGGCGAGGCCGAAAGGCGUAGUCGAUGGGAAACAGGUUAAUAUUCCUGUACUUGGUGUUACUGCGAAGGGGGGACGGAGAAGGCUAUGUUGGCCGGGCGACGGUUGUCCCGGUUUAAGCGUGUAGGCUGGUUUUCCAGGCAAAUCCGGAAAAUCAAGGCUGAGGCGUGAUGACGAGGCACUACGGUGCUGAAGCAACAAAUGCCCUGCUUCCAGGAAAAGCCUCUAAGCAUCAGGUAACAUCAAAUCGUACCCCAAACCGACACAGGUGGUCAGGUAGAGAAUACCAAGGCGCUUGAGAGAACUCGGGUGAAGGAACUAGGCAAAAUGGUGCCGUAACUUCGGGAGAAGGCACGCUGAUAUGUAGGUGAAGUCCCUCGCGGAUGGAGCUGAAAUCAGUCGAAGAUACCAGCUGGCUGCAACUGUUUAUUAAAAACACAGCACUGUGCAAACACGAAAGUGGACGUAUACGGUGUGACGCCUGCCCGGUGCCGGAAGGUUAAUUGAUGGGGUCAGCGCAAGCGAAGCUCUUGAUCGAAGCCCCGGUAAACGGCGGCCGUAACUAUAACGGUCCUAAGGUAGCGAAAUUCCUUGUCGGGUAAGUUCCGACCUGCACGAAUGGCGUAAUGAUGGCCAGGCUGUCUCCACCCGAGACUCAGUGAAAUUGAACUCGCUGUGAAGAUGCAGUGUACCCGCGGCAAGACGGAAAGACCCCGUGAACCUUUACUAUAGCUUGACACUGAACAUUGAGCCUUGAUGUGUAGGAUAGGUGGGAGGCUUAGAAGUGUGGACGCCAGUCUGCAUGGAGCCGACCUUGAAAUACCACCCUUUAAUGUUUGAUGUUCUAACGUUGACCCGUGAUCCGGGUUGCGGACAGUGUCUGGUGGGUAGUUUGACUGGGGCGGUCUCCUCCUAAAGAGUAACGGAGGAGCACGAAGGUUGGCUAAUCCUGGUCGGACAUCAGGAGGUUAGUGCAAUGGCAUAAGCCAGCUUGACUGCGAGCGUGACGGCGCGAGCAGGUGCGAAAGCAGGUCAUAGUGAUCCGGUGGUUCUGAAUGGAAGGGCCAUCGCUCAACGGAUAAAAGGUACUCCGGGGAUAACAGGCUGAUACCGCCCAAGAGUUCAUAUCGACGGCGGUGUUUGGCACCUCGAUGUCGGCUCAUCACAUCCUGGGGCUGAAGUAGGUCCCAAGGGUAUGGCUGUUCGCCAUUUAAAGUGGUACGCGAGCUGGGUUUAGAACGUCGUGAGACAGUUCGGUCCCUAUCUGCCGUGGGCGCUGGAGAACUGAGGGGGGCUGCUCCUAGUACGAGAGGACCGGAGUGGACGCAUCACUGGUGUUCGGGUUGUCAUGCCAAUGGCACUGCCCGGUAGCUAAAUGCGGAAGAGAUAAGUGCUGAAAGCAUCUAAGCACGAAACUUGCCCCGAGAUGAGUUCUCCCUGACUCCUUGAGAGUCCUGAAGGAACGUUGAAGACGACGACGUUGAUAGGCCGGGUGUGUAAGCGCAGCGAUGCGUUGAGCUAACCGGUACUAAUGAACCGUGAGGCUUAACCUU
Molecule: ribosomal RNA, 2901 nt
Filed under: Escherichia coli
Lineage: Bacteria; Pseudomonadati; Pseudomonadota; Gammaproteobacteria; Enterobacterales; Enterobacteriaceae
Description: bacterial LSU rRNA
Rfam family: Bacterial large subunit ribosomal RNA
Source: RNAcentral